GGGUAAAGUGGCGCACGGGUGAGUAACGCGUAGAUAACCUGUCUUCACGUCUGGAAUAAUACGCCGAAAGGGGUACUAAUACCGGAUAUUCUUGCUUUUCAUAAGUUUUGCAAGGAAAGGUGGCCUCUGUAUAUGCUACUGCGAGAAGAGGGGUCUGCGUACCAUUAGCUAGUAGGUGGGGUAAUGGCCUACCUAGGCAACGAUGGUUAGCGGGUCUGAGAGGAUGAUCCGCCACACUGGCACUGGAACACGGGCCAGACUCCUACGGGAGGCAGCAGUGAGGAAUAUUGCGCAAUGGGGGGAAACCCUGACGCAGCGACGCCGCGUGAGUGAGGAAGGCCUCGGUCGUAAGACUCUGUCAAAGGGAAAGGAAGUAGCAUGAUGGCGUAAUACCUGUCAUGUUUGUACGGUACCCUUAAACGGUAAGGACACCGG
RNAcentral lists this ribosomal RNA (435 nucleotides) under uncultured bacterium. Its description in RNAcentral is "bacterial SSU rRNA". It matches the Rfam family "Bacterial small subunit ribosomal RNA", at positions 88 to 503 of the family's 1533-position model. The record is from RNAcentral.